GCGCCCUUAGCUCAAUUUGGAUAGAGCAACGGCCUUCUAAGCCGUAGGUUACAGGUUCAAAUCCUGUAGGGCGUA
Molecule: transfer RNA, 75 nt
Filed under: Arsenophonus sp.
Lineage: Bacteria; Pseudomonadati; Pseudomonadota; Gammaproteobacteria; Enterobacterales; Morganellaceae
Description: tRNA-Arg
Rfam family: tRNA
About the family: Transfer RNA (tRNA) molecules are approximately 80 nucleotides in length. Their secondary structure includes four short double-helical elements and three loops (D, anti-codon, and T loops).
Source: RNAcentral